Molecule: non-coding RNA, 23 nt
Filed under: Cricetulus griseus (Chinese hamster)
Lineage: Eukaryota; Metazoa; Chordata; Mammalia; Rodentia; Cricetidae
Source: RNAcentral
UCAGACCGUGGAAGUGCAUUAGC